Molecule: long non-coding RNA, 559 nt
Filed under: Equus caballus (horse)
Lineage: Eukaryota; Metazoa; Chordata; Mammalia; Perissodactyla; Equidae
Description: lncRNA (ENSECAG00000053697.1)
Source: RNAcentral
AUGAACAAGAUGUGAUUCCUGUCCCCAAGGAAAGGCUUCCGGGUGGAGGUGAGUCAUCAUCUGAACUUUGAGACAGAUGCUGGCAAGACAGGAUGGGCUGGGAGGAGGUGGGGACGGCGCACCAGGUGGCAGAGAUGGCAAGAACAAAGGUUGUUGAAAGGAUUACAAGAAACAAUGACCCAGACAGCGGUGAGGGUUUCAGAACCCAAAAAAAUCCUCUCUCAUGUGAUGAGGAACUGAGAGAGCCCCUGGACAACAGCCAGCGGGACCUGAGGCUCUCCGUCCAACAGGCUGCGAGGAUCUUGAAUCCUUCCAUUGAGGCAUGGGUGAGCGUGGAAAUGGACCUGCCCCAGCUGACAUCUGGAUGGCAGUUUUGUGAAACCCGGGAGCCAGACCUCCCACCUAGGCGGCACCCUGAUUUCUGACCCACGGAAACUGAGAUAAGAAAUGUGAAUUGCCUUAAGCUACUGUAUCUUGGGGCUGUUUCUUAUGCAGCUGUAAAUAACUAAUACAUUAAUGGCAUAACACAUAUGUUUCCUUCUUUAAUAUCUGCCUCCCC